CGACAUAGCUCAAUUGGUAGAGCAACUGAUUUGUAAUCAGUAGGUUACGGGUUCAAUUCCUGUUGUCGGC
This 70-nucleotide transfer RNA is filed under the name pig gut metagenome. It matches the Rfam family "tRNA". From Rfam's summary of the family: Transfer RNA (tRNA) molecules are approximately 80 nucleotides in length. Their secondary structure includes four short double-helical elements and three loops (D, anti-codon, and T loops). The record is from RNAcentral.